CCUACGGGAGGCAGCAGUGGGGAAUUUUGGACAAUGGGCGCAAGCCUGAUCCAGCCAUGCCGCGUGCGGGAAGAAGGCCUUCGGGUUGUAAACCGCUUUUGUCAGGGAAGAAAAGGUUCUGGUUAAUACCUGGGACUCAUGACGGUACCUGAAGAAUAAGCACCGGCUAACUACGUGCCAGCAGCCGCGGUAAUACGUAGGGUGCAAGCGUUAAUCGGAAUUACUGGGCGUAAAGCGUGCGCAGGCGGUUAUGCAAGACAGAGGUGAAAUCCCCGGGCUCAACCUGGGAACUGCCUUUGUGACUGCAUAGCUAGAGUACGGUAGAGGGGGAUGGAAUUCCGCGUGUAGCAGUGAAAUGCGUAGAUAUGCGGAGGAACACCGAUGGCGAAGGCAAUCCCCUGGACCUGUACUGACGCUCAUGCACGAAAGCGUGGGGAGCAAACAGGAUUAGAUACCCUGGUAGUCCACGCCCUAAACGAUGUCAACUGGUUGUUGGGAGGGUUUCUUCUCAGUAACGUAGCUAACGCGUGAAGUUGACCGCCUGGGGAGGACGGCGCGAAGGUAGUAACGUUACAAGUAGUUAGUUAGAGNGNGAGNGNGACGACGACGACGACGGAGGAGGAG
Molecule: ribosomal RNA, 624 nt
Filed under: uncultured bacterium
Lineage: Bacteria
Description: bacterial SSU rRNA
Rfam family: Bacterial small subunit ribosomal RNA (bases 1-542)
Source: RNAcentral